RNAcentral lists this transfer RNA (72 nucleotides) under Streptomyces sp. F-3. Its description in RNAcentral is "tRNA-Gln". It matches the Rfam family "tRNA". From Rfam's summary of the family: Transfer RNA (tRNA) molecules are approximately 80 nucleotides in length. The record is from RNAcentral. Lineage: Bacteria; Bacillati; Actinomycetota; Actinomycetes; Kitasatosporales; Streptomycetaceae.
UCAAGGCCCCCGUUGUGUAGCGGCCUAGCACGCCGCCCUCUCAAGGCGGUAGCGCCGGUUCGAAUCCGGUCG